AAAAAAAUUGGUGAAAUAAUAGUGUAUACUUUUAUAUACAAUGUUUAAAAUAUCAACUAUUCAAUUUAAUCAACAUUAAUAUUCGAUCAAAUAUAACUUUAAUUAUGUGGUUAUAUUUUCAUGAUUUUACGCGGUAGAACGUGGAAACUUAUUUAUUAGUCUAGUAUCCCCGAAGCGUGCAGCAACCAAUCGGUAUGACAGUGAAUAUUGCCUCGCUUGUCCUUUCAGAGUGUAGAACGGUCUUGCGAUCAGAUAUACUUCAUAUUAUCGGAAAUACUUGAUAAAUGUUUAUGUUUUAAAAGUUUUUUUAAAAUGUUAAAUAAAGUUUAACUAGCCUAGAAAAUAAUUUUAAACAAGAUGCGCGUUCUACGCAUACUACGAUGCCGACCCUUCUCCACGCGAAUGUUGGCUUUGCUUCUCAUCGCAUUGGCUUUCGGCGUCUACUGCUACUACUAUACCGUGUCCCCAGCGUACCCUAAACCAGGUAAGUU
This 491-nucleotide unclassified non-coding RNA is filed under the name Melitaea cinxia (Glanville fritillary). RNAcentral describes it as "misc RNA ENSMCXG00005013303.1". The record is from RNAcentral. Lineage: Eukaryota; Metazoa; Arthropoda; Insecta; Lepidoptera; Nymphalidae.